This 506-nucleotide ribosomal RNA is filed under the name uncultured bacterium. RNAcentral's name for it is "bacterial SSU rRNA". It matches the Rfam family "Bacterial small subunit ribosomal RNA", at positions 17 to 518 of the family's 1533-position model. The record is from RNAcentral.
UUCUGGCUCAGGAUGAACGCUAGCGGCAGGCUUAACACAUGCAAGUCGAGGGGCAACGCGAGUAGCAAUACUUGGCGGCGACCGGCGCAAGGGUGCGUAACGCGUGAGCAACAUGCCCGUAUCAGGGGGAUAAUCCAGGGAAACUUGGUCUAAUACCCCAUAGUAAUUUUGUAAGGCAUCUUAUAAGAUUUAAAGCUUUGGUGGAUACGGAUUGGCUCGCGUGACAUUAGCUGGAUGGUAAGGUAACGGCUUACCAUGGCUAUGAUGUCUAGGGGUUCUGAGAGGAAGGUCCCCCACACUGGAACUGAGACACGGUCCAGACUCCUACGGGAGGCAGCAGUGAGGAAUAUUGGACAAUGGAUGGAAAUCUGAUCCAGCCAUGCCGCGUGAAGGAAGAAGGUCCUAUGGAUUGUAAACUUCUUUUGUAUGGGAGCAAUAAGGCCUACGAGUAGGUUGAUGAGAGUACCAUACGAAUAAGCACCGGCUAACUCCGUGCCAGCAGCGGC